CUCACCCCAGCUCCACCCCAAUCACCACAUACACCAAGGAAAGGCACGUGUGGACGUGGCAAGAAGGCAGCUGUGUGCGAGCCAGGAAGAGUUCUCACCAGACACUGAAUUGGCUGGAACCUCCACCUUGGAUGUCUAGCCUCCAGAAAGAGGGUCCCUUCUCAUAAGAUAGUAAUUCUGUUGUGUAAGCCACCAGCCUCUGGGGUUUUGUUAUGGCAGCCUGAGCUACUACGGGUCCGGAAGUGGGGUUGCUGGCUGGAUCAGAUGGAUCCGUGGGCCCUUAAUCGAGGACUUUCUUCUUCGGUUGCUGCCAGCCGGCUUGUGGAGAGUACCUAGUGAAUCUCAUGUGUCCAGCAGAGAGGAAUAUGGGCCUCCCCACGCAUUUCAGGGCCCGUCUUCCUUGAAGAGAAGGCAAGAAGCAGGAAGACACAUUUUUCACUGCUGAGAGUAGUUUUAUUUAGGUGGGCAUAACAGUGCAGAACCAAAACAGUGCUUCACCCUUCCCUACACAGCAGCCUUGAUUUUCCACCUUUCAUCCCUCCCUAAAGGGAGGCCGGCUGGAUCAGAAGGCAGAACUUGGACAGGCGGCUUACGUGGAAAUACAAAAAUGUAACAGUGAUAGCCACCAAACUGGAGAGUUUCCAGGUUCUUGUGCUUUUUUUAAGGACCGUUUUCUAACCAUGAUACGCUGUCAUCCUUUGAUCCUUGUGGAACAGAAAGUGAUCGUUCUUACCAAAUGAUACAGCAAAAAGAGCAUGCGUGUCUCUCUUUAAAAGUUCUGGAGAUGUUUGGUCGUUGAAAAGAAUGUGAAUUACACCUAGAGCACCGCUUUACACAACCCCAUUAGGCUGUAAUUAUGGUGCUUUUAAAAAACUCCAACUUGUAAACAGGAAUUGAUGGCUUCAUCCUUUGUAGGGAACACUGGUGACACUGUCGAAUUCUACAAGGACUUUCCUCCUCUGGUGGGCAGGGGAGAGCACUCAAAGCAUUAGAAACUCUUGUCACUUUCAAGAACUUGAAGAACAAUCACGGAUCAAACACAUGCUUUCAGUGACAGAGUAUUUUUACAGCUAAAGAGAGAACGCUGAAACAAUACAUUUCAUUUCCAGCAGGCUGAACAAAGCAAUCACGAAUUAACAUCUAUUAUGUUCCACAAAUGACACAAUAUCAUCUUUGCCAAUCUUUUUUAAAGGUUUCACAUCACUUGUGAAUAACAGGACCAAACAGCCAACGAUCGCCCAGAAGGAGCCCCUUCAUCUCCACGCCCUCAGAAGAACCCCUAAUUACUGGCAAUUGCGCAUUUCAAUCAAUGUUCCUUUUCAAGAGGUCGGUCUGGGAAAUAACAGAGAUCAGGGGCUUUAAAACUUCAAUUUCAAAAAAAAAAUUUUUUUCAUCACUGCAAGGCAACACUGAACUUGUACUGAACUUGGAAAGUGGUCACAACGUCACAGUAAAAAGCCAAGGACUGUCAUUACUUACAUGUAGAGCCCUAGUCAUUUACAGAAAUAUUCCUCUCUCCACCGUGAGGCUGAGUCUCCCCUCUCGUCUCCUGCCGAGGACGGUUUGCCUUUUAAAUCAACACAGUUGCCAACAAACUAGGACUUCUCCUAACAGUGUGUUCAUGUGUUCACCAAAUAUUUACACAAUGUCCAUUACACUCCAGCCAGUUGCUGUGGUAGGAGCCUGUGAUACAGCACUAGAUAACAACUCCCAUCAUUGUAGAUAUUCUAUCAACUGGGACUGACAAUAAGCAAAAUAAACCAACGCGAACACAGUUUAAAACGCAUGCGGCAAUCCACCCCCAGGAGCAGAACUCCCUGUCACAGGACGGAGGCCGGCAGCACCCCCAGCCCACCUCCGCUCAAUGUUGGAUAGGAGAGGAUGCUCAGUGAACAGGUAGCUUCUACGAGCGAAACACAGACGUGCAGCAAGCCCUGCCGCACAGCUGGAAGUUCUAGCAUUUUCACAGCACAUCUACAAAGGAGGACAAAGCAUUUGACAAGGGCUGUGCUCACCCUCACCCACACUCUAGAGAAGCUGGACAGGGGUCGUUCCGGGCCACUGCCAGCCACACGCACUCUCUUAGUUGACUUUUUCAGCCUGACUCUACAAAAUGAAAUCCAUUCCUCAAAAGGUAGAGCAUGCUGAAGAGUGCGCAGACACGAUUUCACUAAGUAAACACGCAGCAGCUUUCCACGUGGGCAAAGGGGCCUCCGUUCUGUGCCGUGCGCCUUGGUCUCCAGCCACAAGAGCACAGCUUCGUGGACGACGAUGGCCCCUGAAGGUGUAUUUAGUGUUGUGUGCAUCCCAGAGGAAAGGGUUCGUAGCUUUAAAAGUAUUGGCAAGGGGUCUGUAACUUCCUGGAGGCUUAAGAAUGUCUACAUUCCCGUCUUAAGAUGGGAAGUCUCUGCCUUCUGUGUGGUAAAAGCAAACACGUGGCUGGAUACUGCUUUCAGAAUGAUCCGUUCGAGGCCCAGCUGGUGCUUUACUAGGAAGACGUGAGCCGGAAACAAAGUCAGUGACCCUGGGGUACUCAUUUAGGAUCGGUCUGUCCCCUUUUAAAUGACUCUUACCCUCAGAAAAUGGGACCCUCAAAAGUAGUCCUGUAAGCCAGCAACUCACAGGAGAUGAACGAGUUAACUUUCUUGAUAACACUUUUUCCCAAGCCAGAAUGUAUGACCGGGCAUCCACAUCAGCCCCUUAGCUCCACGACUGUCGUUCACGGGCAACUCCAUGUCCGCCACAGGCUUGCCCUCCCCCGCAAGGUAAGGUGCAAAAGGCCAGUGGAGCUCCUACUACUCAAAAUUGCUAUCUUAUCAUUUUGUCCAAGCUUCAGACUGGAGUACUUGUGGCUAAAGAAGCUCUGGGAAAAACUGCAACCAGAUUCUUAAAACCACCGGCUACAGAGGCUACGGCAGAGAGGAAAACAAUAUGGCAUCCACCCAGAACACAGAGCGUUUGCUGGAAGUUUUCUGGAAGGGCCUUUAUUGUGGCUGCUCUUUUUUUGUACCUGCCUCUGCCUUUGUGGCCUCUGACUAGACUGUGAACUCCUCAAAGCUGUGCCUUAUUCAUCACAGCCACACCAUCAGUGACUAGCAGGACUAGCCUGGGACAUCGCAGACCCCACUGGAGCUCAGCAGCAGAGGGUUACCUGCAGAAAACCCCUUGGAAAACUGAGUUGCUGUGCAUGUGCAGAUUUCCCCACGGCGCCCUUUUAGCGGCAUUCUUUUCCUGUACAGAAGUCACAAGGAAGUAUCCUUUGCACGCAUCUCGUUCACCAAGUCUCCCGUCAGAGCAGUGCAUGGGCCCGCAGCCCUUCCCAGCAGAGUGCGACAAACCAUGGUCAGCGAUUUCAGUUAGCCAGGGUGACAAGCAGCAGUGUGAAGAGACACCAGCACCGUCCCCAGGUUAGGACACCACCGGGAGCAGGACUGCCUGUGGGUCGGUGGAUGUUUCUCUUGUCCAACAGUUAUUAACACAGAGGAGACUCAGAUUAAAA
Molecule: long non-coding RNA, 3499 nt
Organism: Panthera uncia (snow leopard)
Lineage: Eukaryota; Metazoa; Chordata; Mammalia; Carnivora; Felidae
Exons: 3
Source: RefSeq, a predicted model, not a curated record